RNAcentral lists this ribosomal RNA (468 nucleotides) under Bacillus sp. (in: firmicutes). Its description in RNAcentral is "bacterial SSU rRNA". It matches the Rfam family "Bacterial small subunit ribosomal RNA", at positions 217 to 697 of the family's 1533-position model. The record is from RNAcentral. Lineage: Bacteria; Bacillati; Bacillota; Bacilli; Caryophanales; Bacillaceae.
ACUUAUGGAUGGACCCGCGUCGCAUUAGCUAGUUGGUGAGGUAACGGCUCACCAAGGCAACGAUGCGUAGCCGACCUGAGAGGGUGAUCGGCCACACUGGGACUGAGACACGGCCCAGACUCCUACGGGAGGCAGCAGUAGGGAAUCUUCCGCAAUGGACGAAAGUCUGACGGAGCAACGCCGCGUGAGUGAUGAAGGCUUUCGGGUCGUAAAACUCUGUUGUUAGGGAAGAACAAGUGCGAUUGACGGUACCUAACCAGAAAGCCACGGCUAACUACGUGCCAGCAGCCGCGGUAAUACGUAGGUGGCAAGCGUUAUCCGGAAUUAUUGGGCGUAAAGCGCGCGCAGGUGGUUUCUUAAGUCUGAUGUGAAAGCCCACGGCUCAACCGUGGAGGGUCAUUGGAAACUGGGAGACUUGAGUGCAGAAGAGGAAAGUGGAAUUCAUGUAGCGGUGAAAUGCGUAGAGAU